GACGAGCGCUGGCGGCGUGCCUAAUACAUGCAAGUUGAGCGAUGAAGAUUGGUGCUUGCACCAAUUUGAAGAGCAGCGAACGGGUGAGUAACGCGUGGGGAAUCUGCCUUUGAGCGGGGGACAACAUUUGGAAACGAAUGCUAAUACCGCAUAACAACUUUAAACAUAAGUUUUAAGUUUGAAAGAUGCAAUUGCAUCACUCAAAGAUGAUCCCGCGUUGUAUUAGCUAGUUGGUGAGGUAAAGGCUCACCAAGGCGAUGAUACAUAGCCGACCUGAGAGGGUGAUCGGCCACAGUGGGACUGAGACACGGCCCAAACUCCUACGGGAGGCAGCAGUAGGGAAUCUUCGGCAAUGGACGAAAGUCUGACCGAGCAACGCCGCGUGAGUGAAGAAGGUUGUCGGAUCGUAAAACUCUGUUGGUAGAGAAGAACGUUGGUGAGAGUGGAAAGCUCAUCAAGUGACGGUAACUACCCAGAAAGGGACGGCUAACUACGUG
This 497-nucleotide ribosomal RNA is filed under the name uncultured bacterium. RNAcentral's name for it is "partial 16S ribosomal RNA". It matches the Rfam family "Bacterial small subunit ribosomal RNA", at positions 28 to 507 of the family's 1533-position model. The record is from RNAcentral.